RNAcentral lists this ribosomal RNA (1024 nucleotides) under Bacillus zhangzhouensis. Its description in RNAcentral is "bacterial SSU rRNA". It matches the Rfam family "Bacterial small subunit ribosomal RNA", at positions 50 to 1056 of the family's 1533-position model. Lineage: Bacteria; Bacillati; Bacillota; Bacilli; Caryophanales; Bacillaceae. The record is from RNAcentral.
UAUACAUGCAAGUCGAGCGGACAGAAGGGAGCUUGCUCCCGGAUGUUAGCGGCGGACGGGUGAGUAACACGUGGGUAACCUGCCUGUAAGACUGGGAUAACUCCGGGAAACCGGAGCUAAUACCGGAUAGUUCCUUGAACCGCAUGGUUCAAGGAUGAAAGACGGUUUCGGCUGUCACUUACAGAUGGACCCGCGGCGCAUUAGCUAGUUGGUGGGGUAAUGGCUCACCAAGGCGACGAUGCGUAGCCGACCUGAGAGGGUGAUCGGCCACACUGGGACUGAGACACGGCCCAGACUCCUACGGGAGGCAGCAGUAGGGAAUCUUCCGCAAUGGACGAAAGUCUGACGGAGCAACGCCGCGUGAGUGAUGAAGGUUUUCGGAUCGUAAAGCUCUGUUGUUAGGGAAGAACAAGUGCGAGAGUAACUGCUCGCACCUUGACGGUACCUAACCAGAAAGCCACGGCUAACUACGUGCCAGCAGCCGCGGUAAUACGUAGGUGGCAAGCGUUGUCCGGAAUUAUUGGGCGUAAAGGGCUCGCAGGCGGUUUCUUAAGUCUGAUGUGAAAGCCCCCGGCUCAACCGGGGAGGGUCAUUGGAAACUGGGAAACUUGAGUGCAGAAGAGGAGAGUGGAAUUCCACGUGUAGCGGUGAAAUGCGUAGAGAUGUGGAGGAACACCAGUGGCGAAGGCGACUCUCUGGUCUGUAACUGACGCUGAGGAGCGAAAGCGUGGGGAGCGAACAGGAUUAGAUACCCUGGUAGUCCACGCCGUAAACGAUGAGUGCUAAGUGUUAGGGGGUUUCCGCCCCUUAGUGCUGCAGCUAACGCAUUAAGCACUCCGCCUGGGGAGUACGGUCGCAAGACUGAAACUCAAAGGAAUUGACGGGGGCCCGCACAAGCGGUGGAACAUGUGGUUUAAUUCGAAGCAACGCGAAGAACCUUACCAGGUCUUGACAUCCUCUGACAACCCUAGAGAUAGGGCUUUCCCUUCGGGGACAGAAUGACAGGUGGUGCAUGGUUGUCGUC